GAUGAACGCUGGCGGCGUGCCUAAUACAUGCAAGUCGAACGCUCAAGCUUGGUGCUUGCACCGAGCGGGUGAGUUGCGCACGGGUGAGUAACGCGUAGGUAACCUGCCUCUUAGCGGGGGAUAACUAUUGGAAACGAUAGCUAAUACCGCAUAAAAGUCGAUACCGCAUGAUCUUGAUUUGAAAGGUGCUAAUGCAUCACUAAGAGAUGGACCUCCGUUGUAUUAGCUAGUUGGUGAGGUAACGGGUCACCAAGGCGACGGUACAUAGCCGGCCUGAGAAGGUGAUCAGCCAAACUGGGACGGAGACACGGCCCAGACUCCUACGGGAGGCAGCAGUAGGGAAUCUUCGGCAAUGGGGGCAACGCUGACCGAGCAACGCCGCGUGAGGGAAGAAGGUUUUCGGAUCGGAAAGCUCUGUUGUAAGGGAAGAACGAGUGUGAGAGUGGAAAGUUCACACUGUGACGGUAACUAACCAGAAAGGGACGGCUAACUACGUG
RNAcentral lists this ribosomal RNA (497 nucleotides) under uncultured bacterium. RNAcentral's name for it is "partial 16S ribosomal RNA". It matches the Rfam family "Bacterial small subunit ribosomal RNA", at positions 28 to 507 of the family's 1533-position model. The record is from RNAcentral.